Molecule: ribosomal RNA, 254 nt
Filed under: uncultured bacterium
Lineage: Bacteria
Description: partial 16S ribosomal RNA
Rfam family: Bacterial small subunit ribosomal RNA
Source: RNAcentral
UACGGGGGGGGCGAGCGUUGUUCGGAAUCACUGGGCGUAAAGGGCGCGUAGGCGGCCCGCACAAGUCUGCGGUGAAAACCCCCGGCUUAACCGGGGGCCGGCCGUGGAAACUGUUGGGCUGGAGGCUGGGAGAGGGCAGCGGAAUUCCCGGUGUAGCGGUGAAAUGCGUAGAGAUCGGGAGGAACACCGGCGGCGAAGGCGGCUGCCUGGACCAGUCCUGACGCUGAGGCGCGAAAGCUAGGGGAGCAAACAGG